RNAcentral lists this ribosomal RNA (886 nucleotides) under Saccharomyces cerevisiae (brewer's yeast). RNAcentral describes it as "partial large subunit ribosomal RNA". It matches the Rfam family "Eukaryotic large subunit ribosomal RNA", at positions 70 to 971 of the family's 3401-position model. The record is from RNAcentral. Lineage: Eukaryota; Fungi; Ascomycota; Saccharomycetes; Saccharomycetales; Saccharomycetaceae.
CGGGAUUGCCUUAGUAACGGCGAGUGAAGCGGCAAAAGCUCAAAUUUGAAAUCUGGUACCUUCGGUGCCCGAGUUGUAAUUUGGAGAGGGCAACUUUGGGGCCGUUCCUUGUCUAUGUUCCUUGGAACAGGACGUCAUAGAGGGUGAGAAUCCCGUGUGGCGAGGAGUGCGGUUCUUUGUAAAGUGCCUUCGAAGAGUCGAGUUGUUUGGGAAUGCAGCUCUAAGUGGGUGGUAAAUUCCAUCUAAAGCUAAAUAUUGGCGAGAGACCGAUAGCGAACAAGUACAGUGAUGGAAAGAUGAAAAGAACUUUGAAAAGAGAGUGAAAAAGUACGUGAAAUUGUUGAAAGGGAAGGGCAUUUGAUCAGACAUGGUGUUUUGUGCCCUCUGCUCCUUGUGGGUAGGGGAAUCUCGCAUUUCACUGGGCCAGCAUCAGUUUUGGUGGCAGGAUAAAUCCAUAGGAAUGUAGCUUGCCUCGGUAAGUAUUAUAGCCUGUGGGAAUACUGCCAGCUGGGACUGAGGACUGCGACGUAAGUCAAGGAUGCUGGCAUAAUGGUUAUAUGCCGCCCGUCUUGAAACACGGACCAAGGAGUCUAACGUCUAUGCGAGUGUUUGGGUGUAAAACCCAUACGCGUAAUGAAAGUGAACGUAGGUUGGGGCCUCGCAAGAGGUGCACAAUCGACCGAUCCUGAUGUCUUCGGAUGGAUUUGAGUAAGAGCAUAGCUGUUGGGACCCGAAAGAUGGUGAACUAUGCCUGAAUAGGGUGAAGCCAGAGGAAACUCUGGUGGAGGCUCGUAGCGGUUCUGACGUGCAAAUCGAUCGUCGAAUUUGGGUAUAGGGGCGAAAGACUAAUCGAACCAUCUAGUAGCUGGUUCCUGCCGAAUUUUCC